This 62-nucleotide transfer RNA is filed under the name Didymobothrium rudolphii. Its description in RNAcentral is "tRNA-Lys". Lineage: Eukaryota; Metazoa; Platyhelminthes; Cestoda; Spathebothriidea; Acrobothriidae. The record is from RNAcentral.
CUUCAUAUAACUAAUUAAAGUUCUGAGUUCUUACCUCAGCAAUGUGCGCUGCACUGUGACGU